RNAcentral lists this long non-coding RNA (1652 nucleotides) under Prunus dulcis (almond). Its description in RNAcentral is "sRNA ncRNA". The record is from RNAcentral. Lineage: Eukaryota; Viridiplantae; Streptophyta; Magnoliopsida; Rosales; Rosaceae.
UUUCUUCUUUCAUCCCCCUUUUCAAUAUCCCCUUCUUUUCUUUUUGGCACAAUAUCCAUCUGAUCAAAUAUUAUUUGCAUAUCAUCUAUAGAAUCAUAAGAUUUGCAUGGUUGUUAGUGCUUAAAUAAAAGUUUAUAUAAACUCUCCUGAAAAUCCUAGCCUCAUUUCUCUCAAAAAACACUCUAGAAUCGUUUUCACUUUGAGAGGGGAGGAAGCCACUAUUCUUCCUCCCUUCCUCCCUUCUAAUCUCUUCCCCCAUUUUCAAAGACAUAAGGUUUCCCUAUUUUCUUUAUUUUGUUAUGAUUUUCCUCCACUUAUCACAGGAGGAUGCGUCUCGACGUCGAAUCUCCACUUGCAUUUUGGUGUAAAAUCUUUACCACCAUCCUUUUUGCAAUUUCUUCAUAUUUGGAAUAAGUCGAAAAGACUUUUUGGGUUUUUUGUGUAGUUUUUACCUCUCCUUUUGUGAGAGUUUUCACAUCUCCUUUGUGAGAGUUUUCACAUCUCCUUUGUGAGAGUUUUCCACCUUUCUUAUGUGAGAAUAUUAUUUGUAUUGUUAUGGCUUGGUUUUUUUUCCAAGCUUUAUGUCUUUUAGUUGUUUUGAGUUUGCACUCUUAAUUGGGAUGCAUAUGCCAGAGUUUCUUCGAUCAUGUGUGAUCGACCUUUCUUAUGUGAGAAUAUUAUUUGUAUUGUUAUGGCUCGGUUUUUUUUCCAAGCUUUAUAUCUUUUAGUUGUUUUGAGUUUGCACUCUUAAUUGGGAUGCAUAUGCCAGAGUUUCUUCGAUCAUGUGUGAUCGUCAGUGGAGGAGCCCCAAAUUGUCUUAAUUUUGAUGUUUGAUCGGUCUCUGUUAUUGUUAUGGCCCUUUGUGGCUAGUGAUUUUUUUGAUUAAAUUAUAAAUGUAAUCUCAUAAUUUCUCAACAAAAUAAAAGUUGAUAUAGACGAUACUUCCAACCUGGGGCGGCUAUGAAAUUUUAGAGGCCUCGUACAAAAUUAGUACUAAGGCCUCAUAAAAAGGCUUGAACAAAAACAUAUAUAUCUUGAUAGCAAAUUUAAAACUACUCAUCAAUAUCGAGUUUUUUUUCAGUCGUGCCUCUAGAUUUUGUUCAAAUUUGGCAGAGGUCUCUUUAUGUAAAGAUCCAUUUUAGAUAUGUGGAUAUAUCUCACUGCCAUGAAUGUCUCUUUUGGUGAGGAUUAGGGUUUUAACUUUUGAGACCAGAAGCCUUGGUGUGGAGAAUUGCAGAGGUUCGGUGCUCGGGUCCUGGUUGAUGUGAGAUAGUGCUCUGGUGCGUGGUUGAGCAUCAAGUCGUAGCUAAGUGGUUAUGCCAUUUCUCUUGGAUGUUGUCUUCCUCUCGAGUCCUUGCUGACUUGGCAUCCUGGAUUCCGAUUAGGCGCCGCUCCUGAAGGGUAUGAUUGCUCUAUUCUCCUCAUAGUUUGGUUUCUAAUGAGCUAGUUUAUUGGUCCAUGUUUUUGGCUCGUUGUUCUGGCCUUUGUGUUGGUCGUUGUGUAUUCAUUUUUUGGCUUUAACCUUCCUAUUUACGGGGUUUUUAUUUUGGUAAUUUCUUUGUAAUUGGGCAGAUCAAUGAAAUUUUACUUUUAUUCUAUAAAAAAUUGUAAACAAUCCGCACUCCUUAAGUGUGUUUGAAUUUAUAUUAGGC